RNAcentral lists this long non-coding RNA (362 nucleotides) under Homo sapiens (human). Its description in RNAcentral is "non-protein coding lnc-NPVF-8:1". Lineage: Eukaryota; Metazoa; Chordata; Mammalia; Primates; Hominidae. The record is from RNAcentral.
GGAGGGGGGCACCUCUAUUCAGCCUCCCUGCACCUAGGUAUCCUGAUGUCCAAGUUCCAUUCUUCCUCUCCUCUUUCUCCAUUUUCAGCUGAGUUAUCUGCACACUCACAAAGCCUGCUUGAUGACCUUGGCACACACUUGCCAAAUACCUCCAGCUCUCUAUAAGUCCAUGGGGGAGGCCAACAUGUUUCACACCUUACUCUAUGCCCCUGGUUAAUUCUAAAGGCAACACUGAUUUGGCCAUAACGGGGUUCAGAAUGCACUACCCCAAAAUAUGGCACUUUGACAUUUGAGAAGCAGGAAGAACUCUCUGACCUCCUCCUGCCCUUCUCCCAUGAAGCAGGCCAUAAAACCUAGCAAAG